GAGGAAUAUUGGGCAAUGGAGGCAACUCUGACCCAGCCAUGCCGCGUGCAGGAAGACGGUCCUAUGGAUUGUAAACUGCUUUUGUACGAGAAGAAACAUCCCGACGUGUCGGGACUUGACGGUAUCGUAAGAAUAAGGAUCGGCUAACUCCGUGCCAGCAGCCGCGGUAAUACGGAGGAUCCAAGCGUUAUCCGGAAUCAUUGGGUUUAAAGGGUCCGUAGGCGGUCUUAUAAGUCAGUGGUGAAAUCUCCUAGCUCAACUAGGAAACUGCCAUUGAUACUGUAAGACUUGAAUGUUUGUGAAGUAACUAGAAUAUGUAGUGUAGCGGUGAAAUGCUUAGAUAUUACAUGGAAUACCAAUUGCGAAGGCAGGUUACUAACAGAUGAUUGACGCUGAUGGACGAAAGCGUGGGGAGCGAAC
Molecule: ribosomal RNA, 420 nt
Filed under: uncultured bacterium
Lineage: Bacteria
Description: bacterial SSU rRNA
Rfam family: Bacterial small subunit ribosomal RNA
Source: RNAcentral